This 431-nucleotide ribosomal RNA is filed under the name uncultured bacterium. RNAcentral's name for it is "partial 16S ribosomal RNA". It matches the Rfam family "Bacterial small subunit ribosomal RNA", at positions 29 to 507 of the family's 1533-position model. The record is from RNAcentral.
AACGAACGCUGGCGGCAGGCUUAACACAUGCAAGUCGAACGCCCCGCAAGGGGAGUGGCAGACGGGUGAGUAGCGCGUGGGAACAUACCCUUUCCUGCGGAAUAGCUCCGGGAAACUGGAAUUAAUACCGCAUACGCCCUACGGGGGAAAGAUUUAUCGGGGAAGGAUUGGCCCGCGUUGGAUUAGCUAGUUGGUGGGGUAAAGGCCUACCAAGGCGACGAUCCAUAGCUGGUCUGAGAGGAUGAUCAGCCACAUUGGGGCUGAGACACGGCCCAAACUCCUACGGGAGGCAGCAGUGGGGAAUAUUGGACAAGGGGCGCAAGCCUGAUCCAGCCAUGCCGCGUGAGUGAUGAAGGCCUUAGGGUUGUAAAGCUCUUUCACCGAUGAAGAUAAUGACGGUAGUCGGAGAAGAAGCCCCGGCUAACUUCGUG